RNAcentral lists this unclassified non-coding RNA (279 nucleotides) under uncultured fungus. RNAcentral's name for it is "partial contains small subunit ribosomal RNA, internal transcribed spacer 1, and 5.8S ribosomal RNA". The stretch from base 1 to 73 matches the Rfam family "Eukaryotic small subunit ribosomal RNA", at positions 1759 to 1831 of the family's 1831-position model. The record is from RNAcentral. Lineage: Eukaryota; Fungi.
UCAAACUUGGUCAUUUAGAGGAAGUAAAAGUCGUAACAAGGUCUCCGUUGGUGAACCAGCGGAGGGAUCAUUAAAGAGUUUACAAAACUCCCAAACCCCUGUGAACAUACCAUAUGUUGCCUCGGCAGGUCGUGUCUACCACGUAGUGGUGGAUGCGGUACAGCCUGCCGCUGGCCCUUGAAACUCUUGUUAUACAUUGUAUUUCUGAAGUUAUAAACGAAAUAUAUUAAAACUUUCAACAACGGAUCUCUUGGUUCUGGCAUCGAUGAAGAACGCAGC